RNAcentral lists this ribosomal RNA (429 nucleotides) under Bacteroidota bacterium. RNAcentral describes it as "Bacteroidetes bacterium partial 16S ribosomal RNA". It matches the Rfam family "Bacterial small subunit ribosomal RNA", at positions 355 to 776 of the family's 1533-position model. The record is from RNAcentral. Lineage: Bacteria; Pseudomonadati; Bacteroidota.
UAGGGAAUCUUCCGCAAUGGACGCAAGUCUGACGGAGCAACGCCGCGUGAGUGAAGAAGGAUUUCGGUUCGUAAAACUCUGUUGUUAGAGAAGAACAGCGCAUAGAGUAACUGUUAUGCGUGUGACGGUAUCUAACCAGAAAGCCACGGCUAACUACGUGCCAGCAGCCGCGGUAAUACGUAGGUGGCAAGCGUUGUCCGGAUUUAUUGGGCGUAAAGCGAGCGCAGGCGGUCAAUUAAGUCUGAUGUGAAAGCCCCCGGCUCAACCGGGGAGGGUCAUUUGAAACUGGUUGACUUGAGUGCAGAAGAGGAGAGUGGAAUUCCAGGUGUGGCGGUGAAAUGCGUAGAUAUAUGGAGAAACACCAGUGGCGAAGGCGACUCUCUGGUCUGUAACUGACGCUGAGGCUCGAAAGCGUGGGUAGCAAACAGG